CAAUUCAUCUGUUCCCAAUAAACAUUUUCUUUCAAUACACACUUCACGCCAAUAUUCUCCUCCACUUUCCAAUAUUCACCCACCACUACCUAAGUCUCUUUCCAAUGCCUCCCUCCGUCGUCUCAUCUUCCACUACCGAAGGCACAUCUCCUCCCUCCUCUUGGCCCACCACCGAAGACAACUCCCUGUCUUCAGCCUAAUUUCUUCUUUCCUUCCUUCCUGUUUACCACAAUUUUCUCACUCCUGUAAGCCCUCUCUCUGUACCGCUUUCUCUCUCCCCCAUAACUCUAUCCUCCAUUGAUGUAUCUUUCUCUUUGUUGCCCUCAUCUCUCCAAUCGUAUUGAUGGUGUUGUUUGAUUUGCUCGGUAAUCGUGGCUUUUAGAGGUUUUCUACAACACAAAGCGGCGGAGGUCGGAGCUAGUUGUGAUGAACGGUCUCGCAAUUUAAAAGUUAUCCACCUUCCUCUAAUCCCCCAAUCAUCAUAAAGUGGAAUCAAAUGAAGUUGAAUGGCGGGGCUGAGCAGCAAAAGAGAGGUAAUUGGGUUGAAAACCAGGAAGCGGUUGAGCCGCCAUCUCACCGCAGCCCCAAACGAAUCAAUAGACCACCGUGAAUGAUUUUGAUGACAUAGAAUGGUGCUGCUUGGUUCCAUCAAUCCCCCUAUCAUGUUCCAUGAGAUCAAGGACACCACUAUGAGUUAUGAAUUAAUCAAUGGAAUAGCUCUACUUCAUUGGAUAUGGAAUCCAAAGGAGUGUUUACAAAGGGGAUGACAGUUGAGAGGGCAAGCCGCGGGUCUGUUUUCCUGUCAGUUGCUGCUGUUAGGUGCUUUUUUCCUGUCAGUUUUUUCACUGUCUGCUGCUCUGGUGUGUGGCUUUGGCUGCAGUUUUUGUUUUGGUCCUGUUUUAGGCCUUCAUGUGUAGUGGUGAUUUUGAUUUGUUGGUUUGUAUUGUGAUGGGGAAGGGUGUUUUGGUUUCCUGUUGGUUGCUUGCUGCAUGCAUAAGGUUUCUAUUUUAGCAGGCACUAUACUUACUUAAAUAUGCUAAAUAUUAGUUUAACUUUAUCCUACAUAUACUGUAAUGUCUAAUGCUAUUUAUAUUAUAAUUGAUAUGCAGGUCAUUUGGAAACUUAUCAACAGUUGGAGGCAUUUUAUGUUACAUGACAGAUAGAUAUAGUAUAUGAACUAUCUUUAUAUGUUUUUGUUUAGAGGAUGUAUUAUGAUCGACUUAAGUGUGAACUAUUUUAUGCAUUAUUGAUCCUUAUGAGGUCCAUUUAUUGUA
Medicago truncatula (barrel medic) is the source of this 1274-nucleotide long non-coding RNA. RefSeq lists it as uncharacterized. The transcript has 4 exons. The record is from RefSeq and is a predicted model, not a curated record. Lineage: Eukaryota; Viridiplantae; Streptophyta; Magnoliopsida; Fabales; Fabaceae.